This 612-nucleotide ribosomal RNA is filed under the name uncultured bacterium. RNAcentral's name for it is "bacterial SSU rRNA". The stretch from base 1 to 518 matches the Rfam family "Bacterial small subunit ribosomal RNA", at positions 338 to 873 of the family's 1533-position model. The record is from RNAcentral.
CCUACGGGAGGCAGCAGUGGGGAAUAUUGGACAAUGGGCGCAAGCCUGAUCCAGCAAUGCCGCGUGAGUGAUGAAGGCCUUCGGGUCGUAAAGCUCUUUUACCCGGGAUGAUAAUGACAGUACCGGGAGAAUAAGCUCCGGCUAACUCCGUGCCAGCAGCCGCGGUAAUACGGAGGGAGCUAGCGUUGUUCGGAAUUACUGGGCGUAAAGCGCACGUAGGCGGUUAUUCAAGUCAGAGGUGAAAGCCCGGGGCUCAACCCCGGAACUGCCUUUGAAACUAGAUGACUAGAAUCUCGGAGAGGUCAGUGGAAUUCCGAGUGUAGAGGUGAAAUUCGUAGAUAUUCGGAAGAACACCAGUGGCGAAGGCGACUGACUGGACAAGUAUUGACGCUGAGGUGCGAAAGCGUGGGAGCAAACAGGAUUAGAUACCCUGGUAGUCCACGCCGUAAACGAUGAUAACUAGCUGUCCGGGUACUUGGUAUUUGGGUGGCGCAGCUACGACAUUAAGUUAUACCGUCCGUCGGGUAGGUACGGUCGCGAGAAUUAAACGUUAAACGGUAAAGUUAGUACGGCGUGAGACGUGCCGAACGGACGACGACGACGGGAGGUAGG